GUGGGUGUAGCUCAGUAGCAGAGAACUUGCCUGGUGCAUGCAAGGUCCUGGGUUGGAUUCCCAGCACCCACC
RNAcentral lists this transfer RNA (72 nucleotides) under Mesocricetus auratus (golden hamster). It matches the Rfam family "tRNA". From Rfam's summary of the family: Transfer RNA (tRNA) molecules are approximately 80 nucleotides in length. Their secondary structure includes four short double-helical elements and three loops (D, anti-codon, and T loops). The record is from Rfam by way of RNAcentral. Lineage: Eukaryota; Metazoa; Chordata; Mammalia; Rodentia; Cricetidae.